RNA transcript from Falco peregrinus (peregrine falcon), 3576 nucleotides. It is a transcript of the gene named caspase recruitment domain-containing protein 8-like, with no coding region annotated. The record is from RefSeq and is a predicted model, not a curated record. NCBI's taxonomy places the organism in Eukaryota, Metazoa, Chordata, Aves, Falconiformes, Falconidae. The transcript has 16 exons.
ACAAACACAAACAACAAAACCCCACAGCGGUUUUGGGGCCCACGGCCCGGCCUUGCACCUGCAGCGGGGGCUCCCCGAGCCUCCCCAGCUCCCCGCAUCCGCUGCCCGGGUCGCCCGCUGCCCCCCGCCCCGCUCGGCACCCCCCCUCCGGCAAACAAAAGCGCUCGGCGAGCCAGCGGCGUGCCCGCUCCGCCCCGGCCCCGCUCCGCCCCGCGCUCCCGCUCCGCCGGCCCCGCUCCGCCCCGGGCCCGCUCCGCCCCGCGCUCCCCGCUCCACCACCGGCUCCACUCCGGGCCCCGCACCCCCGGGCCCGCCGCCGGGCCCGCCGCGAGCGCCGCCCGUUCACCUGCUGCCUGCGAAGCCGCGAGCGCUGUUUGGCUUCAGCGGGGGCCGCGGCCGCCCGUGCUGUCGCCCCUGGGGGCAUGAGCGGCGGGCGGGUUGCUGACACGGAAAGGGGUCGGUGGGGGCUUUGCCCCCAGCUUCUCCCCUCUCGAGCCUGUUUUUCGGUUUAUAAGGGAGGGGGGGGCGCCGCGGCGCGGGGGUCGUACCGCUGCUGGCAGGGCUGGUGCAGAAGGCAGCGCUCGGUGGAGGGGUUGCACAAACGGCGCUUGGCUCAGGCACCGUCUCUGGGCGGAGCUGAGUCCCUCUCUUCAGAUGAAAAAGAGGUGGCAGCUGGCAGCACGGAGGGAGAGGGCUCGGCCGAGGAGCACCCAGUGGGAGAGGAGGGUUCCAAAACCAGCUCCAGCAGUAGCUCGGAAGAAGAGUCAGAUGCAGAGGAGUCGGAUGGAAGACGGUCACAUGAAGAACAGGAGGAGAAGGAGUUGCUACCGUGCUGCGAUGAAUCAGGAGCGAACUGUCUGCUACCCUGUGAGCACUGCAGAAAUGAAAAUGACCAGAAGGAGCAAGUGACCCCUAGGAGACUGUCUGGAGGACAAUAUGUGGCACGGCUGGAUGCAGAGGGGACUUACCAGUGCAGCCUCACAGGCUUGAUUUUUGAAGUAACGGGGCCCGUCAAAAUCACAUAUUCCCUCUUAUCCUGGAGCAAAUACGCCAGCCUGGUGGAAAAGCCGUGGAUCGUGGGCGGCCCCCUCUUUGACGUGCGCUGCGACUCAGCCCCUGCUCUCACCUCCAUCCAGUUUCCCCACUCCCUCUGCCUGGGCGAUCAUGGUGCUGGCAUGGCCUUCAAGGUUUUGCACAUCAAGGGCGAGGGAGCAGCCAUCGAGCCCUCCGCCGACUACUCGGCCUCGCACGUGAAGUGGCUGGUGAGCUCGCUGUCACCGGUGGGACCACUCAUCCAGAGCCAGGAGCCCGUGCAGUACCACGGUGCCGUCAUCCUCUACAAAGUCAUUGAUGAGCACCCCUCCUUGUCCUUUCGGGUCUACGUGGCUACAAACAAUGACUCCUUUAUAAAGGAUAUCUCAAAAGCUGUAAAACAUUCUAAUAAGAAAUUCAUUAAAAUUGACAAGCCCCCUGUAUGCCAGAAGUUACUACAGAAAGGAAAGAAGUAUAGAUUAAUUUGUGAGCCAGAAGCUGAAAUAACUCCAGAGGAAAUUGAAUUUGUUGACGGAUCUCUCUUGAAACUAAAAAGUUACAUUGAAGUCUAUUUGGAGAAACCUGAUGACUUCACCUUGUCUUUGGUUGAGCUAGAGUCCGAAGCGACCGUCUGGAAAGCAAAACUAAGGGAGAGUGACUGGAUACAUUACGAUCAGAAUAAAAACGAGCAGAAAAGAAGCGCAGUCAGUGUCAAAAAACGGAAACUAGCCCUCAGCAUUUUGAAAGAAGACGAGAUCUGUGGCAAAAAGCAAAAGAGCAGCAAUCCUGCAGAUGGAAUUGAAACAAAAAACCUAACUGAUCAACAGCUGAUGGUGAUCGCAAAGUUGUUUGGUAGGCAGUGGCGAGAAAUUGCCAUUGAGUGUCUUCAGAUGGAAAUGAAAGACAUCGAGCAGAUUCAGGCAACAGAAGAAGAAGUUAAUAUGCAAAAAUUUCUGGUGUUGAGCAAGUGGAGAGACAGAGAACAAAGCAACGGAACUGCAGAAGCCUUGUACAGAAGUCUCCGUGAAAAAGUGUCCUAUGAGAUACUGCAAGCCCUGCAAGGUAUCGCCUUCCCGUUAUAUUUAUUUAAUUACAUCAGUGUGUUUCAGAUGUAUUUUAAGAAUUCACAUCAGAGAGUUUACCAAAUGCCUAGUACAUGUUUUACUACAUAGGUCAAAAUUGUCUCCCUUUGAUGUCAGCAAUGACUUUCUUUCUUUCUUGUGGCAUUUUUAUACUUCCCUUCAGAAACUGCUAUAAAAUGAAUAAUAUUUCUGCACUGACUGUGUUAAUAGUGCUCCCAGCAUGACCUGGCUGUCAUGGUCAAGCAAAUCGGUGCUAUAGACCCAAGCCAAUGCUGGGUCUUCUCUGGAAGUCCUGAGAAGAGAUGUUUGGGUCUUUACUCUUAUCUGUUUUAGGAACGGUUAAUUAACACCUUCCCCUGAUGGAUGACUUAGCGGCUGGGUCCUGCAGACCCGUGUGUGUGUUUCUGGGCUCGGUGCUGAGCUGUGGAGCUGCAGCUGGAAGGAGCACGGCGGGAGCUUCUCCAGCCACUCCCCCGGCAUUGCGCUGGGAUCCGGGGAGGAAGAUGCAAGGCAUCAUCACUCAGUGGAAAGUUUAGGCAGUGUCUCCACAAGAAAUGUGAAUGAAAUUUUGCGUGGCUAUGAGCACAUCUAAGACUUUCAGGAGCAAUCAGUCUUGCAGCGGAUCCCACCAUUGCGGCUGGCAGCGCAGGGCUUCGUGCUUGGGGAAACCCAGCGCUGCCACCCAGCUUUGUCAUGUUUGAGCCGGUCCUAAAAGACGUGAACACUGGAAGAAACCACUUUACCUUGUUCAGGUACAUGGUUGUUAUCAGGAAACAUUUUUAUUUCUAUCAGGGAAAGACAGGGAGGAAAGUUAUGCGGAAAUUUUCAUCCCCUUAAAAAAAAUAUUGAACUGCCAAAAUCAUGAGGUACACUGUAUUUCUCACAGAUGCCCAGAAUCAGGGAAGAAUAAUCCUAAACUUGCAGAUAAAUUCCUUUGCAUAAUCACUGUACAUAUACAUAAUCACUGUAUAUACUUGUGUACAAUCAGUCCUUGUUAAGCUGUGGUUCUGUUUUCUAAAAACCCGAAGACUGGUUUCACGGGAACACCACUUAAUAACUCCAGGCAACUUUAAAUUUUCCCUGGGAAUUUCUUCUUCACUCUUUUCUGUAUAGUCUGUCUCAAUUUUUAUGAGAUUUUUUUUAUGUUGUACAUAUUUUUUUUUAUUAGAAACUUUUUAUACUUUUUUUUGCUUGAUAAUUUUAAAUGGAAUAGAAUUAGGUGCUUAAACUAAAAUGGAAGAAGCCAAAAUCUUGGCAGAGGCUGUUGCUCAGCAAUGCACAUACUACAGAACUGGAAAAGAUUUGGAAAGAACCUUAUUUGCAGAAGAGGGUGGUAACGUGAUACAGGAGAUUGUCUUGGUUUUAAAGACAAGUGAUUCUUUUGAUCAUCUUCCUCUGCAUAUGUUUAUGAAAGGAAAAGCAUACUUUUGAAAAAUAAGGAUUAAAAAAGAAACAUGUACGC